CGGGGGGAUUUGCCGUGGCUCACACCCCCAACCCCUCCCCACCCUGCAGAUCUACGUCAGCGUGCCGGGCUCCAAGAAAAUCAUCCUGGAGCUGCCCCUCGUCAUCGGCAGCCGCUCCGGCAUCGGCAGCCGCAGCUCCAGCAUGGCCAGCCAGGCCAGCUCCGAGAUGAGCUGGGUGGACCUGAACCUCCCCGAUGCUCCAGAAGCCCCGCCGUGCUACCUGGACAUCGUCCCCGAGGAUCACCGCCUCGAGAGCCCCACCACGCCGCUGCUGGACGACGCCGACAGCUUCGACAGCCCCAUCUUCAUGUACGCGCCGGAGUUCAAGUUCAUGCCACCGCCCACCUACACCGAGGUGGAUCCCUGCGUGGCCAACAACAACAACCACCCCGGCACCGCCAGUACCACCAGCACCAGUAACACCAGUAACACCAGUAACACCAGCACCGGCCCCGUGCAGUGAGCGCACCCGGCGCCUCCCUCUGCUUCCUGACCCUGCGGGCGCUGGAGCCGCGUUCUGCCCCGCGCCCACCGCAGCCGCACCCGGGGGGGGUGCGGGGCCCGGAAUCGUGUGCUGGGAGGGGGGGUUCCCGGGGGGGUUCCCGGCCCUCGCCGUCCUCGUGUCCUGGGCCGUGUGUCCGUCCGGGCGCUGCUGGGCGAAGCGCUGCUGUGCGCGGCCCGGGCCCGGCCGCCGCUCUCAGGUUGAGUUCCGUGUGUGUUUUCCGGCCCCACGGCGCCGUGGGGCGCUGACCCAUAGGGGUGGGGGGGGAUGGGACCCUCCCCCCCGCCUUGGCCGUGGGGCGCUGCAGAGAACAGCUCCUUUUCUACCGUUGUUUUGUAUUCGUGU
This 847-nucleotide long non-coding RNA is filed under the name Numida meleagris (helmeted guineafowl). Its description in RNAcentral is "lncRNA (ENSNMEG00000012900.1)". Lineage: Eukaryota; Metazoa; Chordata; Aves; Galliformes; Numididae. The record is from RNAcentral.